ACAACUGCCUGGGGAACGCGCAUGUGCAAUACAAAACGCAGAGCAUAGGAACAAAGAGCAGUUGGCCACAAAGGCGCAUGUGCAUUGAUGGCGUCCGCUUCCCUUUUGGCCUAAAUGUAUGCAUUCCAGGGGGAAAGAGUUCCAGUUAUUGGUGGCAGCUGGUAGUGGUGCUGGACUCGGGACAUCCACAAGGCUGGAGGCAGCGAUAUAGCAAAGGCUGGCACUUUGGCGGAAGAAGGUGCAUGGAACCUAGGUGAUGAAGCUGUGUGAGGCUGCACAGGCUGCUGGCACCACCAUCGACCUUCAGGUGUUCAAAUGCUGAAGUCCAUGUGUACUGAGCAGCCACUGGCUAAUGAUUGCUACGACUCCGUGUCCAUAUUCUUGUCUACAUUAGGGACUGGAGGGUCUGCAGACCAAUUCAACUUCCAGGGACCUUAGUUGGCUCCACCUUUUGGAUUGUCCUGCUGGAUCAAGGACUGGUCCUAGCAGGCUAGGGUCCUUCUGUCUGACACCUUCCCACCUCUUCAUCAUGCCUUCCUUCCACAGAUGAGCAGAACCUAUGUCUGAAGAUGCCACCCAUCUUGGUUGGAAGAUACAGAGAAAACAGCUGAAUGCUUCCUCCAUGCUGGCUAGCUUUCAUAGUGCCAGAAGAUACCACACUGGCUACUGAAGGAGAAAAGCCUCCGGCAGUCUCACCUAGCUGUGAUCCUCCUGGGCUAGAUACACCCUCUUUGUUACAAUGAAAAACUGUUAUAUGAGCAACCAACUACACUCUGAUUACAUUUGAGUCCUUUCCACAGAAAAGAACCCACACACGGUACUGUAAAUCUGGUCAAAAGCACAUGCUUGGGGACAUCAUAGGACAUAGGGGGAACUUAAUACUGUUGUCUAGUUAAAUGGACAUAGCAUCUAAGGAUCUU
Non-coding RNA from Peromyscus maniculatus bairdii (prairie deer mouse), 920 nucleotides. Lineage: Eukaryota; Metazoa; Chordata; Mammalia; Rodentia; Cricetidae. The record is from RefSeq and is a predicted model, not a curated record.